RNAcentral lists this long non-coding RNA (417 nucleotides) under Capsella rubella. Its description in RNAcentral is "long non-coding RNA (CRUB_LNC004250)". The record is from RNAcentral. Lineage: Eukaryota; Viridiplantae; Streptophyta; Magnoliopsida; Brassicales; Brassicaceae.
UCUGAAAGAGAAGAGUGAGUUAAGAGAGAGAGGAUCAUAUCAUCACUGUAUCCCGUUUUCUCUUCGUUAUCAAUCUAUGAAGUCAUGAUGUUAAAAAUGUUUACUAAAUUUAUUCAGUGUAAAAGUAGGCAUUCCCUUUUUUCUUUUUUCUUUAUUUUUUGUCAUCAAGUAGGCAUUCCUUAGUAACAGUGAAAUAGUGUAAAAGUUCAAAAAAUUUCUUAGUCGUAUCCCUAGAACCCUAAAUCCUAAAAAUCUGGCCUUCUAUCUCUUACGUCUCUCGAACCUUUCAGAGAGAGAAUGGCCAGAUCUUUUUUUCUCUUUUCUCUUCCGAUUAUACUAUAUCGGAUUAGCUUUCUUAAUCUUGUUUAUAGAUUAAGUUUUUUGGUUUCCAACUUUUGCUCGGAUUAAAAUAAUUCC